UUUUUUGCUCAAGAAAAUUCCUAUUUCAGUUUAUGAAGAAAAUUAGCUGAGAAGAAUGGAAGGAACUCCAUAGGCAAUGGCGGGAUUCUUAUGUAGUCCACGGGCUUCUCUAUCUCCACUUCUAGCCAUACAAUUUAGACGUGGCCCCAGCCUCAAGUCAAUUGGUCCGAUUAAGCUUGGCAUACGGUGCUUCUCUAGUGGCCCUGAUAACAGUGCUGGUAAAUCCAACAAGACUCAGAUUAAAACGGAGACCCUUUAUGUUUUGAGAAUUGUGGUCAGUGGAGUCACGGAGCUUCUCAGGCUCCUCCCCUCCUCCCAACAAUCUUCCAGAGUGACCGAGAAACAAAUAGAUGAGUUUUCAGCUUCAAGUGUUGAUGAUGUACUCACCGUACUCAAAUCUGAUUAUCAGAAUGCUUAUUUUGUUACAGGGAUUUUUUCUUCUGCAAUUUAUGCUGAGGACUGUAUCUUUGAAGAUCCAACUAUUCGAUUUCGUGGUAAGGAGUUGUAUUCCCGCAACUUGAAAUUGCUUGUUCCUUUCUUUGACUCUCCAUCUAUUGGAUUGGAAAACAUUGAGAAGCUGUUUAUAGUCCAUACUAAAGCCUCAGUCAACAUUGCUGCUGUGCCACAAUGCAAGGUAGUCAUUGGUGAUGUUCCUCAGCCUUAGGAAAUGUGGAGACAUGAUAUCAAAGUUGUAGGCCACCUAAGUCAUUCUCGAAAGUGUAGGGCGCUUCAUCGAGUGUGGUGCAUGAUUGAGCAACAACGUCUCACAACGGCUGCUCAGGGCUUGUGCACCAGCAUGGCUGCAUGACCAAACUAACAAAUGUUCCACAAUAUGACUUAUGCAGCAGUUUUUUUUUCCUUUCUUUUUAAAACUUUAGUAGCAGAUUGUGGUUAAUGUCUUGCAAUGCUAAUCUCUGCAGGAUAUCUCCUCUGAAACAAAAUUUGUGGUGGCAAAGUGGAAAUUAAGGACCUACCUGAAGCUUCCAUGGAGGCCUCUUAUUAGCAUCAACGGAAGUACGGUCUAUGAAUUAGACGGCGAGUUUAAAAUUGUAAGGCAUGCUGAGAGUUGG
Molecule: RNA transcript, 1070 nt
Organism: Humulus lupulus (European hop)
Lineage: Eukaryota; Viridiplantae; Streptophyta; Magnoliopsida; Rosales; Cannabaceae
Exons: 8
Source: RefSeq, a predicted model, not a curated record